AUUGAACGCUGGCGGCAUGCCUUACACAUGCAAGUCGAACGGCAGCGGACCUUCGGGUGCCGGCGAGUGGCGAACGGGUGAGUAAUAUAUCGGAACGUACCUUUCAGUGGGGGAGUAACGUAGCGAAAGUUACGCUAAUACCGCAUAUUCUGUGAGCAGGAAAGCAGGGGAUCGCAAGACCUUGCGCUGAUUGAGCGGCCGAUAUCAGAUUAGCUAGUUGGUGAGGUAAAGGCUCACCAAGGCGACGAUCUGUAGCGGGUCUGAGAGGAUGAUCCGCCACACUGGAACUGAGACACGGUCCAGACUCCUACGGGAGGCAGCAGUGGGGAAUUUUGGUACGAAUGGGCGGCAAGACCUCGAUCCACGCCACUGCCGCCGUGAGUGGAAGAAAGGCCGUCGUUGGUUAGGU
This 409-nucleotide ribosomal RNA is filed under the name uncultured bacterium. RNAcentral's name for it is "bacterial SSU rRNA". It matches the Rfam family "Bacterial small subunit ribosomal RNA", at positions 30 to 431 of the family's 1533-position model. The record is from RNAcentral.